This 691-nucleotide ribosomal RNA is filed under the name uncultured bacterium. RNAcentral's name for it is "bacterial SSU rRNA". It matches the Rfam family "Bacterial small subunit ribosomal RNA", at positions 91 to 795 of the family's 1533-position model. The record is from RNAcentral.
CUUAGUGGCGGACGGGUGAGUAACGUGUGGGCAACCUGCCCUAUACUGGGGAAUAAUCACUGGAAACGGUGACUAAUACCGCAUGUCAUUACGGAAGGGCAUCCUUCUGUAAGAAAAGGAGUAAUUCGGUAUAGGAUGGGCCCGCAUCUGAUUAGCUAGUUGGUGAGAUAACAGCCCACCAAGGCGACGAUCAGUAGCCGACCUGAGAGGGUGAUCGGCCACAUUGGGACUGAGACACGGCCCAAACUCCUACGGGAGGCAGCAGUGGGGAAUAUUGCACAAUGGGGGAAACCCUGAUGCAGCAACGCCGCGUGAAGGAAGAAGGUUUUCGGAUCGUAAACUUCUAUCAACAGGGACGAAGAAAGUGACGGUACCUGAAUAAGAAGCCCCGGCUAACUACGUGCCAGCAGCCGCGGUAAUACGUAGGGGGCAAGCGUUAUCCGGAAUUACUGGGUGUAAAGGGAGCGCAGGCGGUACGGCAAGUCUGAUGUGAAAGCCCGGGGCUCAACCCCGGUACUGCAUUGGAAACUGUCGGACUAGAGUGUCGGAGGGGUAAGUGGAAUUCCUAGUGUAGCGGUGAAAUGCGUAGAUAUUAGGAGGAACACCAGUGGCGAAGGCGGCUUACUGGACGAUUACUGACGCUGAGGCUCGAAAGCGUGGGGAGCAAACAGGAUUAGAUACCCUGGUAGUC